UAGGUAGCUAACGCGAGAAGUUGACCCCUGGGGAGUACGGCCGCAAGGUUAAAACUCAAAGGAAUUGAGGGGACCCGCACAAGCGGUGAUGAUGUGGAUUAAUUCGUGCAACGCGAAAAACUUACCUCUCUUGACAUGUCCGAAGCCCGAAGAGAUUUGGGUGUGCCGAAAGGGAGCGGUAACACAGGUGCUGCAUGGCUGUCGUCAGCUGUGUGUGAGAUGUUGGGUUAAGUCCGCAACGAGCGCAACCCUUGUCAUUAGUUGCCAUCAUUAAGUUGGGCACUUAAUGAGACUGCCGGUGACAAACCGGAGGAAGGUGGGGAUGACGUCAAGUCCUCAUGGCCCUUAUGAGCAGGGCUUCACACGUCAUACAAUGGUCGGUACAGAGGGUCGGAAGCCCGAGGUGGAGCCAAUCUCAAAAAACCCUUUAGUCCGGAUCGCACUUGCAACUCGAGUCGGAAGUUGCCGCCGUAUGGAGUGA
Molecule: ribosomal RNA, 481 nt
Filed under: Pseudogulbenkiania sp.
Lineage: Bacteria; Pseudomonadati; Pseudomonadota; Betaproteobacteria; Neisseriales; Chromobacteriaceae
Description: bacterial SSU rRNA
Rfam family: Bacterial small subunit ribosomal RNA
Source: RNAcentral